Molecule: ribosomal RNA, 442 nt
Filed under: uncultured bacterium
Lineage: Bacteria
Description: partial 16S ribosomal RNA
Rfam family: Bacterial small subunit ribosomal RNA
Source: RNAcentral
CCUACGGGAGGCAGCAGUGGGGAAUAUUGGGCAAUGGGCGCAAGCCUGACCCAGCAACGCCGCGUGAAGGAAGAAGGCUUUCGGGUUGUAAACUUCUUUUAAGAGGGAAGAGCAGAAGACGGUACCUCUUGAAUAAGCCACGGCUAACUACGGGCCCGCAGCCGCGGUAGUACGUAGGUGGCACGCGUUUUCCGGAUUUACUGGGUGUAACGGGCGUGCAGCCGGGAAGACAAGUCAGAUGUGAAAUCCCGCGGCUAAACCGCGGAACUGCAUUUGAAACUGUUUUUCUUGAGUGCGGGAGAGGUCAGCGGAAUGCCUGGUGUAGCGGUGAAAUGCAUAGAUAUAAGGAAGAACACCAGUGGCGAAGGCGGAUGACUGGACGGCAACUGACGGUGAGGCGCGAAAGCGUGGGGAGCAAACAGGAUUAGAUACCCUGGUAGUC